GGUUGCGAUCAUACCAGCACUAAUGCACCUGAUCCCAUCAGAACUCCGCAGUUAAGCGUGCUUAGGCGAGAGUAGUACUAGGAUGGGUGACCCCCUGGGAAGUCCUCGUGUUGCAACCC
This 119-nucleotide ribosomal RNA is filed under the name Helianthus annuus (common sunflower). Lineage: Eukaryota; Viridiplantae; Streptophyta; Magnoliopsida; Asterales; Asteraceae. The record is from RNAcentral.